Molecule: long non-coding RNA, 4912 nt
Filed under: Manihot esculenta (cassava)
Lineage: Eukaryota; Viridiplantae; Streptophyta; Magnoliopsida; Malpighiales; Euphorbiaceae
Description: long non-coding RNA (MESC_LNC000126)
Source: RNAcentral
UCCAUCCCUCUUCUCUUCAUAUCUUUCUCAAUCCUCAUAUACAUACACACAAUUCUAUCUCCGUAAACUUACGAUCUCAUAGACAUACAACUUUUCGAAACUAACACAAAGUUAAAAUUGUUUAUCUUACAGAAGAAUUCAUUGCCCUUAAGCAAUUCACCACAAAAUAAGAAAUUGUAGAACAACAAUGAGUACUUGAAAUAUAAAUUAGUUACAAUCCAAACAAAUAUAACUGCAACAUCUAGCCAACUUGCAUCUGGUUUUUGAGGAUAAAAUUAAAACUGAAAAGCAAACAAAAGUUUUGUAUCUCACAGUUCAUAGUUUCCACUUUCCAUAAAUAAAGCAAGGCACCACAACCCACAACUAAAGUUCCCUUAUUUACCUACUUUUUAAAACCAACCUUAUAAAUUAUCAUAAUUGAAACAAAUCCAAGAGUAAUAAUUUUUGCCAAACAUCAAAUAAAUCAGUUUUUCAAUGGAUUUGGCAGAAAUAAUCAAAACUAAUUGAUUCUCUAGCUUUUAGUUUUGCUUUUGACUCGUUCUUUUGUCCUCUCUCAACGCUUGGACUUCAUCAUCCAGUUUGAUGUAGUUCUGGACUUUAUCAAUUAUCUGUUAGUACGUAGUGGCUGAAUUCUUGAUUAGAGAAUUCAUGAACUUAAUGUUGGGUGUUCCUUUCUUCAACGCUUCACAUGCUAUCUCAUGAUUUAAUUCUUCCACCUGUAUUGCUUCUACAUUGAAACAUGAGAUAAAACUUCUUAAAGACUUGCUCCUUGGUGGAUUUUCCACAAGUCAAAGGAGAGCUUUUUGGGAGGUAUACAAGUAAUAAAUCUAGACUUAAAUAACAUAGCAAAUUGUGUAAAGUUCUGAAUUGAACAUAGACUCAAAUGUUAGUACCAUUUCUAAGCCAAGCCUGUGACUGUCGACGGAAACAUUUGGCACAACACAAAAUCGUUGACAUCUUAAAGCUGCAUUGUUGUUCUAAAGAUAGUUAGGUAAUUUCCAGGAUCUGUUAUUUCAUUGUAUUUGUCCAAAUUUGGGAGUUUGAACUUGGCAGAAAAAGUCUCUGCUAAGAUCUAUUCUGAUAGGGGCGAGGCAUCGUGCAACCCAUAGUCUUCCUCCUGCUCCUUCUGGUACCUUUGCCCGGCCCGUAUCAGCUUCCAAUCGAAAACUUUUGGAACCUCGUCCGACGAAUCCUCUUCCUCCAGCUUGGCCUUCCCCUUAGAUUGCGUUUGGAUUGCCUCUGUCCGAGUCCUUGGGGAGUCGAUGGAACCUUCCUCCCUUAUCCUAAGAGCCAUGAAGGAGGCUUCCUCCCGAGUUUUAUAUUGUUCAAGAGUGGCGUGUAACCUUUUUACAUACUGGAGCAUCUACUCAUUAUUUAGAUUGCUUAGAACAAUCUCAUUGACCAUUGAGGGUAUAUUUUAUCCACUACUAGGAGUGGAAUAAAUGAUUAUACUCUUAUUGGCAGCAACCUUAGCAACAGAUUGUGAAUUGUCAGCCAUUUUAGAGAAGAAAAAAGAUUUAUUUUUUGAAGAAAAUGAAUGAAAGACCGAUUUCUAAUCCAAUUGAACAGAAAGAAUCCAAUGGAAUAUCCUGGCAAUGGAACCAAAUGAUGUGGUUGAAACGGAAUUGUGCUGCGAUUGAUCAAUUUGUAAGAAAAAAGAAAGUGAGGUGAUUAGCGCUUAUGACAGCCACUCCAACACUCAAGUCAGUGAACUGAAAAAAGGCAAGUAUAUUGAACUGUUUUGAACUCAAGAGUAAUUGUGUAAGAAUGUGUACAAUGUGUACCUUGAUCUCCGUGUUCACCGGUUUUUAUACUGUAAGAAGGUGAAAUUGGUAAUCAAAUUUCCUGAAAAUCCAAUUAGCACCAACUAGUAGAUAGGGGAUCCCACAAUUAUAUGUAAUUUGCUGGAUUGUGUUUUCUAACGGUAACUUUCCGUGAAGUCUCACCCUAAAGUUGAGAGGGCGAGUCUUGAUGAAAAGCCGAAACCUACAGCAUCUGAGUCUUCUUUUCCAUGUAUGAGACCGCGUAUCAUCUAAUCAGACUCUUGCUAUGUGACUUUGUUUUCGAAUGACAACUCAUAACUUAUUUUGAGCGAUUAUUGUGUUAUAUCAAAUGUUUAAUUUAAAAUAAUAUUAAAAUUAUUUCUAAAAUAGUAAGAUUUUUGGUUUCAAUAUCAAUAAGAAUCAAAUUGUACUAAGAAAUAAUUGAUGAAAGAAAAACUAAUCAAUCGAAGUGUUUUCCAACUUGACAAUGUUUAAAGUUAAAAGAGUAAUUAAUUAAUAUUUUUUUAGGAGGAAAAAAAUAUGGAAAAGGGAUGAUAAUGGACUAUAGGUCUUUUCAAGAUUUGUCAAUCGUUUUUAAUUUAUUGAUAUUAAAAUCGUUGAUAAAUUUUAAGUUUAAAUUUCAAUUCAAAUUAAUUGUAUAAAAUGAAAAACUUUCGAGAUUUAAUGAUAGCAGUUAAAAUAUAAGUGAAAGAAUAGCUAAAAAUCUAUAUUGUGCAAUUAUAUAAUUAAAUUUCUUAAUUAGUACCAGUAAAAUUUUAUUAUUUGUAAUUUAGUUGUACUUUCUUAACUAGGGUAAACACGUGAUGAUUUUGAACAUGGUUUUAUCAUUAGAAGAGAGGAUCGGGUUGGGUGAAUUACAUGUGCAAUAAUAUAUAAUUAAGGUUUAUUAGAAAAAAAGUUAUUUUUUUUUAUAUUUUUUCAUUUGAUUUUACAAUUUUAAAUAAUAAAAUUUACUAUUAUUAUAGCGAAUAUCUAAAAUCAAUUUUGAUCAGGCCAUAUUUAAAACCAAUUUUGAUCCAUGAAUCUAUUUUGUUUUGAAGAUUAAAAUAUAACUGAAGGAUGAUAUGAGUUUAAAAAUAUAAUGAAGAAAUUAAAAGUUUUUGCAGAUAUGAUUUGUAAUUCUAAUUAAAAUUAAUUUUAAAGAUUAGCUAAUUAUGAAAAAAUUAAAAAAAUUUUUUUUUUUGUUCAAAAUUAAAAAGUGAGACUAUAAUUAUAAAUAUAUUGAAAAGAUUUGAUUUUCAAUGUUCAAUAUGUUUUGAUGAUGUGAAAUUAAAAAUUAUAAAAUUCUAUAUAGAUAUGAUAAGUGACUAAGAUCAAAAUUAAUUUUAAAUAUUAGUUAUAAUCGUAAUAAAAAUUAAAAAAAAAGAAUUUUAUCGUCUGAAAUUGAAAAGUCAGGCUAAAUGGAGAAAAAGCCAAACAUGAAAUGUGUAUAUAUGAUUAUGACUCAAGACGACUGUUUAGCUUCAAGGCAUGACUCGGUCAUCAUAAUUACGGCUUGUCCACAAGUGCCAAAAACUUUAUAAACACAUUUCUUCUUUAUCGUAAUAAAAGAUACUAGAAUUUCAUAACUAUAUUAAUUUCUAAUGGGAUCUUAUAUCUUAUUGCAAGUAUCAAUCGAUGUCCUUCAGACCCACAACAAUAGGAAAAACUUUGAGAGGAGUCCACAAAAAUAACCAAAAGUCUGAUAUAGCCUUUAUGUUACCGGAAAGAUGUGACAUAAAUAAAGAAUAAAAUUAUAAUUUAAUGGUUAAAAUUGAUUACCGUUCCGAAAUUGAAUUCGACUUUUAUUAAUAUUUAUAUAUAUUCCAAUAGCUUUCAACAUAUUUGAAAAUGGCCUAGCAGCCGCAUGGACAACCCAAAAUAAAAUCUUCCAAGUAUCUCUUGAGGCAGGACUUGUAUCUUUCUUUGCAAAUUGUUCAAAGAGAUUUCUUGUGCACAAGUUUUAUGUGAAAAGUUGGAAGCACUUUGAUUGAAUUUCCGAACAUUAUUCAUUCCUAAGAAGCACAUAUAAAAUUGUAUUAUUGAAGCAAAGCCAUCUAAAACUCAAAGAAUAGAAAAAUCCUUCAACUAUUAGAUGCAUGGAAAAUCAGCCAUAAGGACAAUUUAAAAAUUUUAAUGAUAAUAAAAAAUGUGAUUCAAUAACAAAAAAGUCUAGAUUUUGCAAUAAAAAUCAAAACAUGUAACUCAGACCAAGUCUUCUUUAAAAAAUAACUUGUGCAAAAAAACAUUAAAGAUUUAAGCUUUUAAAAUCUACCUAAAACGUUUAACUUUCACAGGCAACAAACUAUUAUAUUAUGUAAGUCAAUCUUGUUUCAAAAAAAUUCAAGAAUAGAAUGAAAAUCCAAAAAUAAAAAACUGAAACUCAAUUAUACAAGAAAGAGAAUCACUCCACAUAAACCUUUAUCCAUAAAUAUUUCUAUUAACGAAGUGUAAUAAACCUAUCACACUUUUUAAAAAUCUAAUAAAUCUAAUACUCAAAGUAGAGGCUCAACCAUUUUACAUAAAUUUAAUUUAAUAAAAUUAUUUUUAUUAAUUUUUUAUUUAAAGGAAAAGAAUUUACUUAUAAAAUUUUAUUGUUGUUUUGUAUAAUUUUAUAAAAUUUAUUUAUAUUUUCUUUUAAUAAAAUGACCCGUAUUAAUAGGGGGGAAAAAUCGAGAUGGGACAUGGCGAUGGACUUUCUAAGCUUUGAUAAGAGUGUUUUGGAAGGGAAUGAGGGUAGUGGAAAGUUGAAAACUAUAAAACAGACAUGCAUAUGUCUGCAUUGAUUCUUGCAUGGAAAAUUCUCGUAUAAAGACUUGUGGGGUACGUCUUUAAAGACUUGUUUGUCCAGGUCAACAUCAAACAGACCUAUUGAUAUUACAGUGAAUGAAGAUAAUGAGGUUUAAUUUAAUAAUACUAAAAUUAAUUUUUUAAAAAAAUUGUAUAAUUUGAUUUGAGUUGUAUCACAAUCAACUGGGCUAAAAAAUCGAUAUUAGCAAAAAAAAAAAUUUCAAUUAAAUAUAAUUUUAAUCAAUUUUCAAAAUUAAAAUAAUAAAUUUAAAUAUUAUUUAAAAAUAUUAAAAAUAAUUAUCACAAUAUUAAAAUAACAGCAGAUAAUUAUUAUUUAUUUGAAUGUGAUUGAGUUCUUA